Molecule: ribosomal RNA, 448 nt
Filed under: uncultured bacterium
Lineage: Bacteria
Description: SSU rRNA
Rfam family: Bacterial small subunit ribosomal RNA
Source: RNAcentral
AGAGCGAACGCUGGCGGCAGGCUUAACACAUGCAAGUCGAGCGGGCGUAGCAAUACGUCAGCGGCAGACGGGUGAGUAACGCGUGGGAACAUACCUUUUGGUUCGGAACAACCCAGGGAAACUUGGGCUAAUACCGGAUAAGCCCUUACGGGGAAAGAUUUAUCGCCAAAAGAUUGGCCCGCGUCUGAUUAGCUAGUUGGUGAGGUAACGGCUCACCAAGGCGACGAUCAGUAGCUGGUCUGAGAGGAUGAUCAGCCACAUUGGGACUGAGACACGGCCCAAACUCCUACGGGAGGCAGCAGUGGGGAAUAUUGGACAAUGGGCGCAAGCCUGAUCCAGCCAUGCCGCGUGAGUGAUGAAGGCCCUAGGGUUGUAAAGCUUCUUUGUGCGGGAAGAUAAUGACGGUACCGCAAGAAUAACGCCCGGCUAACUUCGCGCCAGCAGCCGC